UACGUAGGGGGCAAGCGUUAUCCGGAUUUACUGGGUGUAAAGGGAGCGUAGGCGGCCAUUCAAGUCAGGUGUGAAAACCCGGGGCUCAACUCCGGGACUGCACUUGAAACUGAGUGGCUCGAGUACAGGAGAGGCAGGCGGAAUUCCUAGUGUAGCGGUGAAAUGCGUAGAUAUUAGGAAGAACACCGGUGGCGAAGGCGGCCUGCUGGACUGAGACUGACGCUGAGGCUCGAGAGCGUGGGGAGCAAAC
RNAcentral lists this ribosomal RNA (250 nucleotides) under uncultured prokaryote. Its description in RNAcentral is "partial 16S ribosomal RNA". It matches the Rfam family "Bacterial small subunit ribosomal RNA", at positions 524 to 773 of the family's 1533-position model. The record is from RNAcentral.